Molecule: ribosomal RNA, 520 nt
Filed under: uncultured bacterium
Lineage: Bacteria
Description: bacterial SSU rRNA
Rfam family: Bacterial small subunit ribosomal RNA
Source: RNAcentral
UAGGGAAUUUUGCGCAAUGGGGGAAACCCUGACGCAGCAAUACCGCGUGAACGACGAAGCCCUUCGGGGUGUAAAGUUCUGUCAGUGGGGACGAAUUUUGACGGUACCCACAAAGGAAGCAUCGGCUAACUACGUGCCAGCAGCCGCGGUAAGACGUAGGAUGCAAGCGUUGUCCGGAAUCAUUGGGCGUAAAGCGUUCGUAGGCGGCAUGUCAAGUCUGAUGUUAAAGCCCGGAGCUCAACUCCGGUUCGGCAUUGGAUACUGGCAAGCUAGAGUGCAAUAGAGGUAGGGGGAAGUUCCUAGUGUAGCGGUGAAAUGCGUAGAUAUUAGGAGGAACACCGGUGGCGAAAGCGCCCUACUGGGUUGUAACUGACGCUGAGGAACGAAAGCCAGGGUAGCAAAUGGGAUUAGAUACCCCAGUAGUCCUGGCCGUAAACGAUGGAUACUAGGUGUUGCGGGUAUCGACCCCCGUAGUGCCGUAGUUAACGCGAUAAGUAUCCCGCCUGGGGAGUACGCACGC